RNAcentral lists this ribosomal RNA (113 nucleotides) under candidate division Kazan bacterium RIFCSPHIGHO2_01_FULL_49_10. RNAcentral also lists the same sequence under 1 other name. The record is from RNAcentral.
CUUGGUGACUCUCGCGAAGGGGCCACACCUGUUCCCAUCUCGAACACAGCAGUUAAGCCCUUCAGCGCCGAUGAUAGUAACUUUCGGGUUGUGAAAGUAGGUCGUUGCCAAAU